UACGAAGGUGGCAAGCGUUGUUCGGAUUUACUGGGCGUACAGGGAGCGUAGGCGGUUGGAUAAGCCCUCCGUGAAAUCUCCAGGCUUAACCUGGAAAGUGCAGAGGGGACUGUUCAGCUAGAGGAUGGGAGAGGAGCGCGGAAUUCCCGGUGUAGCGGUGAAAUGCGUAGAUAUCUGGAGGAACACCGGUGGCGAAGGCGGCAUUCUGGACUAUUUCUGACACUGAUGAACGAAAGCCAGGGGAGCAAACGGG
Molecule: ribosomal RNA, 253 nt
Filed under: uncultured bacterium
Lineage: Bacteria
Description: partial 16S ribosomal RNA
Rfam family: Bacterial small subunit ribosomal RNA
Source: RNAcentral